GCACUGUAAUUAUAUAUUAAUGGUGGAUUUAUUGCUACAUAUACAAUAUAACAAUAUAAUUUGGCCAUUAUCAUUCCAUGAUAUUUUCCCUUUCCCUCUCUUCCUCCCUCACUCUGGUCCCUUUCUUCUACUGAUGUCCCUUUGAUUUUCAUGAGAUGUCCACCCCAAAAUUUAUUUUACUUUUUGUCUAUAGCUUCCACAUAUGAGAGAAAACAUAUUGAGAGACCCCAGCCCAAUAACUUUAGGCCCAGUAACAGAUCACCAGGGCUUGCUUCCGCACCUGCACAGACGUCAGAUGUAUUUUUCAGAAAAUCAGUUAAGUGUAACCGAUUAAG
This 335-nucleotide long non-coding RNA is filed under the name Marmota monax (woodchuck). The record is from RNAcentral. Lineage: Eukaryota; Metazoa; Chordata; Mammalia; Rodentia; Sciuridae.